CAUGCUCAGCAUCGUAUCAGAAUUCAAGAUAUCAACCGCCAUGGCUGCUGCUACCCCCUUGCAAUGCAGUUUCUCUCCCGCCAUAACUUGUCUGAAAUCAAAUCUCAAACUCAAACACAUUAAUUCACUUCUCUGCCCUGACUUUUUACAGACCCAUUUGUUUCUCCAACACAAACGCCAGGUUGAGAAUGUCUCAAAACAAAAGCAGCAUUACCUAAACUGUCGCAUUGGUUAGUUGUGGUUUCUGGGUUAGUGGAUGGCAAUUCUGAGAUAUACCCAGAAGCAGGAUCAAGUGAUUUGAAUGAGGAGGGUGCAGCCAUUGACAUAAAACUGCCAAGGAGUUUGCUUGUGCAAUUUACUUGUAAUCAAUGUGGCGAGAGGUGUCAGAGGCUCACUAAUCGUUUAGUCUACGAACAGGGACUUGUUUUUGUGCAUGUACUCAUCUGUUCUAAUGGGCUGUUAGAAUGACAAUUUGUUGCAAUAUCUUUCUUACCAGUAAGCAUUUAUCCUGUUAUAUUAAAGGCCAGCAAUGCACUGUCCUUUUGACUUAAAAAGGAAAAGGAAAAAAGAGGAUUCAGAAUUGAUUUUUUAUUGGGAAAGUAUAAUCUGAAACUUCCAAUAACAAGCCAUUUAUGUUUUAUGUUCAAACUGAAUGCUCCCUAAAGAAAUGAUACGAGUCAAUAGAAAUAUAAAGAACCUCAAAAGUAAUAUGAAGCACUAGAAGAAAAUUAAAAGCCCAUCACUUUUCCAUAAGGAAAUGUUGUUAAUGUUAUUAAUGAUCAACAUGUUUUCAAAAUUUUCUUAAUAAAAAUUAACUUAAAUAUCCAUAAGAUGUUUCUCAAUAACUGUUGGAAUAAUUGGAGCAUAUGUGUUUGCCAGGUAACUUAUUUAGUAUUUUGCAUGAGGUUGUUUCCCAAAUAACUAUAUUUAUUUGUUCAUGGGAUUGAACAUGGUUGAUUCACAAGUUCCUUUCUGCCCAGAGAAUUUUUUCAGGAGUGCUAUUUUCUUCUUACUUGCUUUUUGGGAAGUUUGCAGAACCUUAAUUUGUCCUAGAACAUGAUAGAUACUCUUCAGGGAAGAACAGUUUCUGAUGCAAAACUGUGCAACUGAAAUUGAUUGCUUUUGUGUUUUUAUGUUGAAGAGUUAC
Molecule: long non-coding RNA, 1147 nt
Organism: Populus euphratica (Euphrates poplar)
Lineage: Eukaryota; Viridiplantae; Streptophyta; Magnoliopsida; Malpighiales; Salicaceae
Exons: 3
Source: RefSeq, a predicted model, not a curated record